This is a long non-coding RNA of Rhinichthys klamathensis goyatoka, 625 nucleotides long. RefSeq lists it as uncharacterized. The record is from RefSeq and is a predicted model, not a curated record. NCBI's taxonomy places the organism in Eukaryota, Metazoa, Chordata, Actinopteri, Cypriniformes, Leuciscidae. The transcript has 5 exons.
CGUCGGUCCGGAGAUCAGUGUAUGUAAUGCUCAUGUUAGUGGUCAAUGUUGUGCUGGUGUAUUUCUACAGCACAGCUCUGGAGAACGAGAAGGAUCGUGUCGGAUGGGUGUGUGUGAUCGUGUUUCUUCAGUCACUCUGGACAAUGAUAAACUUCACUUGGUCAUUUACAUGGGAUCUUCUCCGUGUUGUUCCUGUGUAUGUGUUUGGAUCAGUCGGUGUAGUUUUACUGAACGCUGUUGCUCUGAUGACUGAACUGAUACUGAAAACAGGCGAGUCAACACUUCAACAUCACUUGGUUUAUAUCUGAGCUUUCUGGUAAAAACACACACAUUAUAUUGUUAUUCUCAUCCUCAGUUAAUGGUGAAGGAGCCGUUGGAGAUAUGAGGAUCAUCGUCUUUUCCUCUGAAUUCAUCUUCACUUUAGUUCUCAUGAUUUUACUGAUAUUUGAACCCUGGAUCAAACCGUGUCUACAGUCAUGUCAGAAGAAAUUAAAGUCUCGUCGAGCUCGAGCCGCUGGAUCUCAGAAUCAGGAAUCUCAGGUUAGCGUCAGAAGAAUCAUUGUGGAUUUGAACACUUUUCUCCAGAGAUGUUGUGUAGAUCAUCAGUGUUUCUCAAUCCUCCUGG